GUGCGGCAGUUGACUGUGUGUGUGUGAGUUAAUGAAACAGGGGUCAGUAGCAGGGGGCUUGGUUGCAUUGGUGAGCAUAAAUAUUUUACUCUCUUCUCAGAUUUCUCUUUGUUCAUGAAGUUACCAGCUGCCAAGCACUCUAAUGAACAUGUGAAAUAAAAUAGGAGGACAAAGAAUUCAGUGCUUUAGAGGAGACAGGUACAUAGACACUGCCGGUUUACCACGUUAAUAAGCAUGCACAGAGAGAAAGCGUGCUCCGCUGCAUGUUAAGUAGGAGUGGACGACUACCAAAAACACAUUUAUGACAAAAGGAUGAGCAUGGGAAAACCUAAAGACAGAGCUGAGCGAAAAUUACCGACCAUCUAAAACUACAGAGUGAAGAAAAGUGGAAAAAAAGUAUUGUGUGAGCUCAUUAUGGAAGGAAGGAUGUCACAGUUCAACAGAGCGUCAAAAGACAAAUCUGAUGGAAAAGAAAGAAAGGGAAGAACAGCACAGAGACAAAAGAGAAAAGGAGCUAAAAAUAUCAGUACUGCCGGUUGCUCAAAGGAGGCUGGUGAGAGGCUUCCUCUUAUUGGCUCUUAGAGACCAG
Long non-coding RNA from Ictalurus punctatus (channel catfish), 589 nucleotides. The record is from Ensembl. Lineage: Eukaryota; Metazoa; Chordata; Actinopteri; Siluriformes; Ictaluridae.